UUCAGGAUUCACUUUUGUGUGCUCAGCCUUGGAUAGCCACAAGGAGGCGACCAUGGAACCAAGGUUUCCAGCCACCUGCAAGCCCCUCAGUCUUUUCUCAGAAAAGCACGGUGGCGGUGGCAGAAGAUGGCACGGCUGUCACCAGCUGUCCCCGUACAACAGGAGGAAGUUGGAUUUGUCCCGGCGUGUGGCAGACAGGACAGUAUUCAUCUGGUGGAUCCCCUGGCACAUGGACAAGUCUGGUGAGGGUCAUCACCUUGAAGAGACUGGUCUCUCUUACUGACAUGUAACAACAGAACAAGCAGCUUGUGCUCUGUACGGUCUGAGGUCCUUUGUACCCCACAGUCUAAAGUUCUCUGUACCCCACAGUCUAAUGUCCUCUGCACCCACAGUCCAAUGUCCACCUGUACCCCAAAGUCUAUGCAACCUUUUCCAUCUCACCGACUGAUUCAACAAACACUGAG
This 464-nucleotide long non-coding RNA is filed under the name Rattus norvegicus (Norway rat). RNAcentral describes it as "long non-coding RNA NONRATT033415". The record is from RNAcentral. Lineage: Eukaryota; Metazoa; Chordata; Mammalia; Rodentia; Muridae.